GGAUGAGCGCUAGCUACAGGCUUAACACAUGCAAGUCGAGGGGCAGCAUGGUCUUAGCUUGCUAAGGCCGAUGGCGACCGGCGCACGGGUGAGUAACACGUAUCCAACCUGCCGUCUACUCUUGGACAGCCUUCUGAAAGGAAGAUUAAUACAAGAUGGCAUCAUGAGUCCGCAUGUUCACAUGAUUAAAGGUAUUCCGGUAGACGAUGGGGAUGCGUUCCAUUAGAUAGUAGGCGGGGUAACGGCCCACCUAGUCUUCGAUGGAUAGGGGUUCUGAGAGGAAGGUCCCCCACAUUGGAACUGAGACACGGUCCAAACUCCUACGGGAGGCAGCAGUGAGGAAUAUUGGUCAAUGGGCGAGAGCCUGAACCAGCCAAGUAGCGUGAAGGAUGACUGCCCUAUGGGUUGUAAACUUCUUUUAUAAAGGAAUAAAGUCGGGUAUGGAUACCCGUUUGCAUGUACUUUAUGAAUAAGGAUCGGCUAACUCCGUGCCAGCAGCCGCGGUAAUACGGAGGAUCCGAGCGUUAUCCGGAUUUAUUGGGUUUAAAGGGAGCGUAGAUGGAUGUUUAAGUCAGUUGUGAAAGUUUGCGGCUCAACGUAAAAAUUGCAGUUGAUACUGGAUAUCUUGAGUGCAGUUGAGGCAGGCGGAACUCGUGGUGUAGCGGUGAAAUGCUUAGAUAUCACGAAGAACUCCGAUUGCGAAGGCAGCCUGCUAAGCUGCAACUGACAUUGAGGCUCGAAAGUGUGGGUAUCAAACAGGAUUAGAUACCCUGGUAGUCCACACGGUAAACGAUGAAUACUCGCUGUUUGCGAUAUACUGCAAGCGGCCAAGCGAAAGCGUUAAGUAUUCCACCUGGGGAGUACGCCGGCAACGGUGAAACUCAAAGGAAUUGACGGGGGCCCGCACAAGCGGAGGAACAUGUGGUUUAAUUCGAUGAUACGCGAGGAACCUUACCCGGGCUUAAAUUGCAGAUGAAUUACGGUGAAAGCCGUAAGCCGCAAGGCAUCUGUGAAGGUGCUGCAUGGUUGUCGUCAGCUCGUGCCGUGAGGUGUCGGCUUAAGUGCCAUAACGAGCGCAACCCUUGUUGUCAGUUACUAACAGGUUCCGCUGAGGACUCUGACAAGACUGCCAUCGUAAGAUGUGAGGAAGGUGGGGAUGACGUCAAAUCAGCACGGCCCUUACGUCCGGGGCUACACACGUGUUACAAUGGGGGGUACAGAGGGCCGCUACCACGCGAGUGGAUGCCAAUCCCCAAAACCUCCCUCAGUUCGGACUGGAGUCUGCAACCCGACUCCACGAAGCUGGAUUCGCUAGUAAUCGCGCAUCAGCCACGGCGCGGUGAAUACGUUCCCGGGCCUUGUACACACCGCCCGUCAAGCCAUGGGAGCCGGGGGUACCUGAAGUGCGUAACCGCGAGGAGCGCCCUAGGGUA
Molecule: ribosomal RNA, 1433 nt
Filed under: uncultured organism
Description: 16S ribosomal RNA
Rfam family: Bacterial small subunit ribosomal RNA
Source: RNAcentral